RNAcentral lists this ribosomal RNA (142 nucleotides) under Haemophilus influenzae. Its description in RNAcentral is "partial 23S ribosomal RNA". It matches the Rfam family "Bacterial large subunit ribosomal RNA", at positions 2797 to 2925 of the family's 2925-position model. The record is from RNAcentral. Lineage: Bacteria; Pseudomonadati; Pseudomonadota; Gammaproteobacteria; Pasteurellales; Pasteurellaceae.
CCAAGAGAUGAGUUCUCCCAAUCUAAGAGAUUGUAAGGGUUGUUGUAGACUACGACGUAGAUAGGUCUGGUGUGUAAGUGUAGUGAUAUAUUGAGCUAACAGAUACUAAUUGCCCGAGAGGCUUAACUAUACAACGCUCAAG